Podarcis lilfordi (Lilford's wall lizard) is the source of this 281-nucleotide non-coding RNA. The record is from the annotation of a GenBank genome assembly. Lineage: Eukaryota; Metazoa; Chordata; Lepidosauria; Squamata; Lacertidae.
GCUGUUCUGUAGUCAUCUUGCCUGACUUUUGUGAGCUCGCGAAGCACCAAUCUUCUUCCCUCGCUGCGUCCACUCACGUUACGAGGUUUUUGGUGCAAAACUUUUUGAGAUGGAGCUUACUGUCAGAGCUGGCUCCAGGUCCCAGCUCACAGAGGACCAACGCUAGCCGGCAGUAAUGUACAAAAGUCUUUAUUGAAGUACAGUUUCCAUUUUCAAGCCGGAGCGCCCCAGCUCUACGUCUAGGGGUUAGAUCGGCGAAGCUCCAUCUGAGUCUCCGCCCC